CGCUGGCGGCGUGCUUAACACAUGCAAGUCGAACGGAAAGGCCCUGCUUUUGUGGGGUGCUCGAGUGGCGAACGGGUGAGUAACACGUGAGUAACCUGCCCUUGACUUUGGGAUAACUUCAGGAAACUGGGGCUAAUACCGGAUAGGAGCUCCUGCUGCAUGGUGGGGGUUGGAAAGUUUCGGCGGUUGGGGAUGGACUCGCGGCUUAUCAGCUUGUUGGUGGGGUAGUGGCUUACCAAGGCUUUGACGGGUAGCCGGCCUGAGAGGGUGACCGGCCACAUUGGGACUGAGAUACGGCCCAGACUCCUACGGGAGGCAGCAGUGGGGAAUAUUGCACAAUGGGCGGAAGCCUGAUGCAGCAACGCCGCGUGCGGGAUGACGGCCUUCGGGUUGUAAACCGCUUUCGCCUGUGACGAAGCGUGAGUGACGGUAAUGGGUAAAGAAGCACCGGCUAACUACGUGCCAGCAGCCGCGGUGAUACGUAGGGUGCGAGCGUUGUCCGGAUUUAUUGGGCGUAAAGGGCUCGUAGGUGGUUGAUCGCGUCGGAAGUGUAAUCUUGGGGCUUAACCCUGAGCGUGCUUUCGAUACGGGUUGACUUGAGGAAGGUAGGGGAGAAUGGAAUUCCUGGUGGAGCGGUGGAAUGCGCAGAUAUCAGGAGGAACACCAGUGGCGAAGGCCGUUCUCUGGGCCUUUCCUGACGCUGAGGAGCGAAAGCGUGGGGAGCGAACAGGCUUAGAUACCCUGGUAGUCCACGCUGUAAACGGUGGGUACUAGGUGUGGGGUCCAUUCCACGGGUUCCGUGCCGUAGCUAACGCUUUAAGUACCCCGCCUGGGGAGUACGGCCGCAAGGGCUAAAACUCAAAGGAAUUGACGGGGCCCCGCACAAGCGGCGGAGCAUGCGGAUUAAUUCGAUGCAACGCGUAGAACCUUACCUGGGUUUGACAUGGAUCGGGAGCGCUCAGAGAUGGGUGUGCCUCUUUUGGGGUCGGUUCACAGGUGGUGCAUGGCUGUCGUCAGCUCGUGUCGUGAGAUGUUGGGUUAAGUCCCGCAACGAGCGCAACCCUUGUUCACUGUUGCCAGCACGUUAUGGUGGGGACUCAGUGGAGACCGCCGGGGUCAACUCGGAGGAAGGUGGGGAUGACGUCAAGUCAUCAUGCCCCUUAUGUCCAGGGCUUCACGCAUGCUACAAUGGCUGGUACAGAGAGUGGCGAGCCUGUGAGGGUGAGCGAAUCUCGGAAAGCCGGUCUCAGUUCGGAUUGGGGUCUGCAACUCGACCUCAUGAAGUCGGAGUCGCUAGUAAUCGCAGAUCAGCAACGCUGCGGUGAAUACGUUCCCGGGGCUUGUACACACCGCCCGUCAAGUCAUGAAAGUUGGUAACACCCGAAGCCGGUGGCCUAACCGUUGUGGGGGAGCCGUCGAAGGUGGGACUGGUGAUUAGGA
RNAcentral lists this ribosomal RNA (1440 nucleotides) under uncultured organism. RNAcentral's name for it is "SSU rRNA". It matches the Rfam family "Bacterial small subunit ribosomal RNA". The record is from RNAcentral.